This 677-nucleotide ribosomal RNA is filed under the name Inocybe jacobi. Its description in RNAcentral is "eukaryotic LSU rRNA". It matches the Rfam family "Eukaryotic large subunit ribosomal RNA", at positions 1 to 653 of the family's 3401-position model. Lineage: Eukaryota; Fungi; Basidiomycota; Agaricomycetes; Agaricales; Inocybaceae. The record is from RNAcentral.
UUGACCUCAAAUCAGGUAGGACUACCCGCUGAACUUAAGCAUAUCAAUAAGCGGAGGAAAAGAAACUAACAAGGAUUCCCUCAGUAACUGCGAGUGAAGUGGGAAAAGCUCAAAUUUGAAAUCUGGCAGGUUCUACACACUGUCCGAAUUGUAAUCUAAAGAAGUGUUAUCUGUGCUGGACCAUGUAAAAGUCUUCUGGAAUGGAGCAUCAUAGAGGGUGAGAAUCCCGUCUUUGACAUGGACUACCAGUAUGUUUAUGGUACACUCUCAAAGAGUCGAGUUGUUUGGGAAUGCAGCUCAAAAUGGGUGGUAAAUGCCAUCUAAAGCUAAAUAUUGGCGAGAGACCGAUAGCGAACAAGUACCGUGAGGGAAAGAUGAAAAGAACUUUGGAAAGAGAGUUAAACAGUACGUGAAAUUGCUGAAAGGGAAACGCUUGAAGUCAGUCAUGUCAGCUGGAAAUCAGGCUUGCUUCUGCAAGGUGCACUUUCUAGUUGAUAGGUCAGCAUCAAUUUUGACCGUUGGAUAAAGGCAUUGGGAAUGUGGCAUCUUUGGAUGUGUUAUAGCCCAUUGUUGGAUACAGCGGUUGGGAUUGAGGAACUCAGCAUGCCCCCUUGGGGUUCAGGUUUCGGCCAUGUUCAUGCUUAGGAUGCUGGCGUAAUGGCUUUAAUCGACCCGUC